UCCGGUUUGUCACCGGCGGUCUCCUUAGAGUUCCCACCAUUACGUGCUGGCAACUAAGGACAAGGGUUGCGCUCGUUGCGGGACUUAACCCAACAUCUCACGACACGAGCUGACGACAGCCAUGCAGCACCUGUCUCACGGUUCCCGAAGGCACCAAUCCAUCUCUGGAAAGUUCCGUGGAUGUCAAGACCAGGUAAGGUGGGGAUGACGUCUCUAGGAGGGUG
RNAcentral lists this unclassified non-coding RNA (224 nucleotides) under uncultured Lysobacteraceae bacterium. Its description in RNAcentral is "uncultured Xanthomonadaceae bacterium contains 16S-23S intergenic spacer region". Lineage: Bacteria; Pseudomonadati; Pseudomonadota; Gammaproteobacteria; Lysobacterales; Lysobacteraceae. The record is from RNAcentral.